UACGUAGGGUGCGAGCGUUAAUCGGAAUUACUGGGCGUAAAGCGUGCGCAGGCGGCUUUGCAAGACAGAUGUGAAAUCCCCGGGCUCAACCUGGGAACUGCAUUUGUGACUGCAAGGCUAGAGUACGGCAGAGGGGGAUGGAAUUCCGCGUGUAGCAGUGAAGUGCGUAGAUAUGCGGAGGAACACCAAUGGCGAAGGCAAUCCCCUGGGCCUGUACUGACGCUCAUGCACGAAAGCGUGGGGAGCAAACAGG
Molecule: ribosomal RNA, 253 nt
Filed under: uncultured bacterium
Lineage: Bacteria
Description: partial 16S ribosomal RNA
Rfam family: Bacterial small subunit ribosomal RNA
Source: RNAcentral